GUUUGUUCAUUCUUUCUUUCUCUCUCUCUCUCUCUCUCUCUCUCUCACACACACACACACACAGAGAGAGAGAGAGAGAGAGAGAGAGAGAGAGAUGCUAUGUGAA
This 106-nucleotide microRNA precursor is filed under the name Podarcis lilfordi (Lilford's wall lizard). The record is from RNAcentral. Lineage: Eukaryota; Metazoa; Chordata; Lepidosauria; Squamata; Lacertidae.